Long non-coding RNA from Bos taurus (domestic cattle), 3803 nucleotides. NCBI's taxonomy places the organism in Eukaryota, Metazoa, Chordata, Mammalia, Artiodactyla, Bovidae. The record is from Ensembl.
CCUCGACCACUCGGGCCGAGUUUCCUCCCCUUCAGGUUCUUUUUUACAUACAUGUACAUAUCUGCAUAGGAGAUGUCUUUGGGACCAUCGGUUCUCUUCACGCAGCUGGCCUGGAAUCUGAGACAGAUCACUGGAACACUCUGGGUCUGUGUUUUUCUUGAUUGGAAGAGGGAAUUUUGAACUUGACACCAUUUCUGCUCUGACCCUUCAUAUGGUGGGUGAGAAUAAUGGAAACAAGGAGAAUGUGGCAAACCCAAGCCCAACAUUCUUCUGACUCAUAUGGAAUCACAAAACAAGGCAGAAAAAUGGCUGUAAGUGCCUGUCCACUAUCUGGGGGCUUUGUGCCAUCGGAUAAAAUUGUGAGGUUAAAUGGCUACCAAAUCAUCAUAUCAUCUGAGAAUAUGUCUGCUUGGUUUGGGCUCAGAUCCCAGGCUAGGAGUGUCUAAACCACAGUCUAUACUUAGUUUAAGUUAGCCAGUGGAAAAGCAUCUGUAUCAGCAUUAAUAUGCCCGACUAAAGUGUCUCAAAGCUUAUAGAAAAUAUUUCUUUCCACAAGAGACUGAUAUAUAUGUAUAUAUGUGGUGGGCAAAACUCAGUAUACUAACCACAGGCCUUUCAGAUUACUCAAGAGGGCCACAGUUGAAGAAAAAGAGAAGGAAAAAACAAAACAAAACCUGACAACAAUUCCAUACACUGCAGCAUUUGGCUGAAUAGGUCAGCAGGAUGUGGAAACUUGUUUUGAGGUUAUUUUGUAUUCUCACCCAGGAUCCCACUGCUUAAUAGCUGUGUGGUUCUUUGCUGGCUAUAUACUGAAUUUAUGAAGGAUGUUGUGAGAGUAAGUUCUAGGAAUUCUGAUAUUUUGAAAUUUGUUGUGCUUUUGUUAACCACAGUGAAACGUUACAUUUGUGGCUUUCUAUACAACUUUCAUUUAUUUGGUUCUGGUUAUGAAAAAACUUAAUGAAGCUUCAUCAGUUCUGUGUAUUUCAGAAAUCAUGGUGGGGACUUCCCUGGUGGUAUAGUGGAUAGGAAUUCACCUGCCAAUGCAGAGACCAAGGGCUUGAUUCCUGAUCUGGGAAGAUCCCACACGCCACGGAGCAACUAAGCCCAUGUCCCGCAACUACUGAGCCCUGCACACCUAGAGCCUGUGCUCCACAAAAGAGAAGCCACCUCCAUGAGAAGCCUGUGCACUGCAACUAGAGGAAGCUGGAGAAAGCAACGAAGACCCAGUGCAACAACAACAAACAAGAUUUUUUUUAAUGUGAUGGCGGGAAGCAUUUACAUGUGGUUGUUGUUUCAUUUCAACUAUUCUUCAAAAACGGGGGCGAGAAAAGCCAAGUUCUCUAGUUUUCAUAUAAAGAUGACUCAAUUUAUUUGAAAAUGAGUGUUCCAGAAUCAGACUUCCAGAUUCCAUGAAUUCAGAGUGUGGAAAAGGACACGCAGCUCCCUUUAGCUGUAACAGGAGACAGUCUUUUAAAAGCCUGGAAUGCUGAAGCUCUCUUACACUGAAAACAUGUUAGGACAUGCCUUCUUGGGAUGCUACCAAGUGGUUUAGGCUCUGAAUUCUACAUUCUGUACUUUUGAAGUUGUUUUCUGUUGGCAGACAACCUCUUGAUUAUUCUCAUGUGAUGAGUGUUCAGGCCAACCUCUCCCGUUCCAAGUAAUUAAAAGAUAGCAACAAACUCAUACUCUGUCAAGUAUCUACACUUUAGCAUAAAGUUGUGGGUUGUGUGAGUGCUGGGCUUAUAGUGAUCAAUUCUAUGAGCUUUGUCAUUUGUUCAGUCAGUAAGUUGUGUCCAACUCUUUGCAAACCCAUGGACUAUAGCACUCCAGGCUUCCCUGUCUUUCAAUAUCUCCCCGAGUUUGCUCAAACUCGUGUCCAUCGAAUCGGUGAUACUAUCCAACCAUCUCAUCCUCUGUCAUCCCCUUCUCUUGCCUUCAGUCUUUCCCAGCAUCAGUUAAAAAUCAUACACACACUACCUGCUACUGCUGCUGCUAAGUCACUUCAGUCGUGUCCGACUCUUAGCGACCCCAUGGACUGCAGCCCACCAGGCUCCUCCGUCCAUGGGAUUUUCCAGGCAAGAGUACUGGAGUGGGGUGCCAUCGCCUUCUCUGACACACUACCUAGACUGCUUUAUUCUCUAAAGCUUACUCCUGCUGUUUGAAAGUGUCACCAUGUUAAGGAAUGAAAAAUUAUAGCGACUGGGGAAAAGUUUUCACCUUUUUUCAUUUCCCUAGUAAAAUUAAGCAAUAAUUUUCAUUCCCCUCAGCUCCUUUUGGAACCAAGGCUAGCAGUGGAUUAAAGGACAAAUAAAUGAAUGAACAAGUCUAUGGUGUUUCUUUCUUCUGCCUCAGAAAGAUGCGGUUUCUUCUGCCAGCAGGAGAAACAGGACUCCUGCUGACACUUCCAGUCGUCCUCAGAAAAGCCAUUGAGCUACCCUUGGGUUGAAUGAAUGAGAACUUUCUGGAGAGCGGAAGACUGGUGGAGGUCCAGCUGGAAAAACAUAUGGCCGCAGAGGCAGAAAGAGCGCUUCUUCAGGAUUGACUGCCUCCAAUGUACCUGGACCGAAGCCAGUGCUGCAUCCUCAGGCGCCCCUAGGGAUUGUGCGUGCAGGACGGCACCACCUCACAGCCCCGCUCUGAGGUCCGGAUUCCACGCCCACUACCCACCGCCUCCCACUCUCCCACUCCCCUACCCUCACUGGGGCCAGGAGAUGGCGGCCCAUUGUGCCUUCUGAAAGAAAACAAAGUUUGCAAAUCACUGUAGACUGUCUUAUAAUAGGUAGGUCAGGAGGGAAAAUGACUAUGGUAAAUUCUCGUCUUAACCACACAUGACCUCAGCACAUUUUUGAGCUGCACAGUGACACAGAAUGAACUGAAGGAGAAAAACCAGGCAGUCUGGGUUCCAGACCAGGACACCACGAGGAGCUGACUUUUACAGAUAUGGGAGCUGUUGCUGCUCUUCCUGGAAUCUCUGCUGCUGCUGCUGCUGCUGCUGCUGCUGCUGCUGCUGCUAACUUGCUUCAGUCGUGUCCGACUCUGUGCGACCCCAUGGACUGCAGCCACCCAAGCUCCUCCGUCCAUGGAAUCUCUGCUACAGGGACAUAAACUCUUUAAGAUUGCCUGACUUAUCAUCCAUCCUUUUCUUCAUUUGAGACUUGAAAUUCGAACUGUGGUGCUGGAGAAGACUCUUGAGAGUCCCUGGGACAGCAAGAUCAAACCAGUCAGUCCUAAAGGAAAUCAACCCUGAAUAUUCAUUGGAAGGACUGAUGUUGAAGCUGAAGCUCCAGUACACUGGCUACCUGAUGCGAAGAGCAGACUCAUUGAAAAAGACCCUGAUGCUGGGCAAGAUUGAAGGCAGGAGGAGAAGUGGGUAACAGAGGAUGAAAUGAUUGGAUGACAUCACUGACUCAACAGACAUGAGUUUGAGCAAACUCCGGAAGAUAGUGAAGGACAGGAAAGCUUGGUGUGCUGCAGUUCAUUGGGUCACAAAGAAUCAGAUACGACUGAGUGACUGAACAAUAACAAUAGUUAAACUGAAUCUCCCAAAUAAAUAAAUAAAUAGAACCUGUUUCAGGUUUCCAACUUGUGUGUGUGUGUGUGUGUGUGGCAUUUUUAAAGUCUGAAUUUCACUUUAUUUGGAAAAUAGACUUAAGAAUUAAGUCCCCCAAGUAUCAAAACCACACACGAUUUAUCUGAAAACAAUUGCUCUUGGGAUGUGUAAGAUGCCUUUUCACAAGUGAAUCAUAUUAUCUGAGAGGUAGAACCCCAGAAGAUGUAUUUAAAAAAUAAAGUUUCUGUCUCAA